This 611-nucleotide ribosomal RNA is filed under the name Candida tropicalis. Its description in RNAcentral is "eukaryotic LSU rRNA". It matches the Rfam family "Eukaryotic large subunit ribosomal RNA", at positions 41 to 668 of the family's 3401-position model. Lineage: Eukaryota; Fungi; Ascomycota; Pichiomycetes; Serinales; Debaryomycetaceae. The record is from RNAcentral.
UAUCAAUAAGCGGAGGAAAAGAAACCAACAGGGAUUGCCUUAGUAGCGGCGAGUGAAGCGGCAAAAGCUCAAAUUUGAAAUCUGGCUCUUUCAGAGUCCGAGUUGUAAUUUGAAGAAGGUAUCUUUGGGUCUGGCUCUUGUCUAUGUUUCUUGGAACAGAACGUCACAGAGGGUGAGAAUCCCGUGCGAUGAGAUGAUCCAGGCCUAUGUAAAGUUCCUUCGAAGAGUCGAGUUGUUUGGGAAUGCAGCUCUAAGUGGGUGGUAAAUUCCAUCUAAAGCUAAAUAUUGGCGAGAGACCGAUAGCGAACAAGUACAGUGAUGGAAAGAUGAAAAGAACUUUGAAAAGAGAGUGAAAAAGUACGUGAAAUUGUUGAAAGGGAAGGGCUUGAGAUCAGACUUGGUAUUUUGUAUGUUACUUCUUCGGGGGUGGCCUCUACAGUUUAUCGGGCCAGCAUCAGUUUGGGCGGUAGGAGAAUUGCGUUGGAAUGUGGCACGGCUUCGGUUGUGUGUUAUAGCCUUCGUCGAUACUGCCAGCCUAGACUGAGGACUGCGGUUUAUACCUAGGAUGUUGGCAUAAUGAUCUUAAGUCGCCCGUCUUGAAACACGGACCA